CCCUUCCCGGCCCGGCCCCUGCCCCAGGGGGCCCCGCUCGGAGGGAAGGCUGAGGAAUCACGUCCACCUUUUGCUCCAGAUGGGCCCAUCUUCCAGGAGACAGGGAAGGGAAAUGUCUGUGAUGGAGCCAGCUCAGAUGCCGGUAACCUUCGAGGAGGUGGCUGUGUAUUUCACCCAGGGGCAGGGGGCUCUCCUGGACCCCGCUCAGAGAGCUCUCUACAGGGACGUCAUGCAGGAGAACUACGAGACGGUGACCUCACUGGGUAA
Non-coding RNA from Chrysemys picta bellii (western painted turtle), 267 nucleotides. The record is from RefSeq and is a predicted model, not a curated record. NCBI's taxonomy places the organism in Eukaryota, Metazoa, Chordata, Testudines, Emydidae.